RNAcentral lists this ribosomal RNA (237 nucleotides) under uncultured Staphylococcus sp. RNAcentral describes it as "partial 16S ribosomal RNA". It matches the Rfam family "Bacterial small subunit ribosomal RNA", at positions 103 to 334 of the family's 1533-position model. Lineage: Bacteria; Bacillati; Bacillota; Bacilli; Caryophanales; Staphylococcaceae. The record is from RNAcentral.
CGGGUGAGUAACACGUGGAUAACCUACCUAUAAGACUGGGAUAACUUCGGGAAACCGGAGCUAAUACCGGAUAAUAUUUUGAACCGCAUGGUUCAAAAGUGAAAGACGGUCUUGCUGUCACUUAUAGAUGUAUCCGCGCUGCAUUAGCUAGUUGGUAAGGUAACGGCUUACCAAGGCAACGAUGCAUAGCCGACCUGAGAGGGUGAUCGGCCACACUGGAACUGAGACACGGUCCAG